AACGAACGCUGGCGGCAGGCCUAACACAUGCAAGUCGAGCGCGACCUUCGGGUUGAGCGGCGGACGGGUUAGUAACGCGUGGGAAUAUGCCCAGACCUACGGAAUAGCCUUUGGAAACGAAGAGUAAUACCGUAUACGCCCUUCGGGGGAAAGAUUUAUCGGAUUUGGAUUAGCCCGCGUUAGAUUAGAUAGUUGGUGGGGUAACGGCCUACCAAGUCUACGAUCUAUAGCUGGUUUUAGAGGAUGAUCAGCAACACUGGGACUGAGACACGGCCCAGACUCCUACGGGAGGCAGCAGUGGGGAAUCUUGGACAAUGGGCGCAAGCCUGAUCCAGCCAUGCCGCGUGAGUGAUGAAGGCCUUAGGGUCGUAAAGCUCUUUCGCCAGGGAUGAUAAUGACAGUACCUGGUAAAGAAACCCCGGCUAACUCCGUGCCAGCAGCCGCGGUAAUACGGAGGGGGUUAGCGUUGUUCGGAAUUACUGGGCGUAAAGUGCGCGUAGGCGGAUCGGAAAGUUGGGGGUGAAAUCCCGGGGCUCAACCCCGGAACUGCCUCCAAAACUAUCGGUCUAGAGUUCGAGAGAGGUGAGUGGAACUCCGAGUGUAGAGGUGAAAUUCGUAGAUAUUCGGAAGAACACCAGUGGCGAAGGCGGCUCACUGGCUCGAUACUGACGCUGAGGUGCGAAAGUGUGGGGAGCAAACAGGAUUAGAUACCCUGGUAGUCCACACCGUAAACGAUGAAUGCCAGUCGUCGGGCAGUAUACUGUUCGGUGACACACCUAACGGAUUAAGCAUUCCGCCUGGGGAGUACGGUCGCAAGAUUAAAACUCAAAGGGAAUUGAC
This 840-nucleotide ribosomal RNA is filed under the name uncultured Alphaproteobacteria bacterium. RNAcentral's name for it is "bacterial SSU rRNA". It matches the Rfam family "Bacterial small subunit ribosomal RNA", at positions 28 to 914 of the family's 1533-position model. The record is from RNAcentral. Lineage: Bacteria; Pseudomonadati; Pseudomonadota; Alphaproteobacteria.